AACGAACGCUGGCGGCAUGCCUAACACAUGCGAGUCGAACGAGACCUUCGGGUCUAGUGGCGCACGGGUGCGUAACGCGUGGGAACCUGCCCUUAGGUUCGGAAUAACUCCCCGAAAGGGGUGCUAAUACCGGAUAAUGUCUUCGGACCAAAGAUUUAUCGCCUUUGGAUGGGCCCGCGUUGGAUUAGCUAGUUGGUAGGGUAAAAGCCUACCAAGGCGACGAUCCAUAGCUGGUCUGAGAGGAUGAUCAGCCACACUGGGACUGAGACACGGCCCAGACUCCUACGGGAGGCAGCAGUGGGGAAUAUUGGACAAUGGGCGAAAGCCUGAUCCAGCAAGGCCGCGUGAGUGAUGAAGGCCUUAGGGUUGUAAAGCUCUUUUACCCGGGAUGAUAAUGACAGUACCGGGAGAAUAAGCACCGGCUAACUCCGUG
Molecule: ribosomal RNA, 433 nt
Filed under: uncultured bacterium
Lineage: Bacteria
Description: partial 16S ribosomal RNA
Rfam family: Bacterial small subunit ribosomal RNA
Source: RNAcentral